Molecule: ribosomal RNA, 469 nt
Filed under: uncultured bacterium
Lineage: Bacteria
Description: partial 16S ribosomal RNA
Rfam family: Bacterial small subunit ribosomal RNA
Source: RNAcentral
GACGAACGCUGGCGGCGUGCUUAACACAUGCAAGUCGAACGGUGAAGCGAGUGCUUGCACUCGUGGAUCAGUGGCGAACGGGUGAGUAACACGUGAGUAACCUGCCCAUCACUCUGGGAUAAGCACUGGAAACGGUGUCUAAUACCGGAUACGACCAACCCUUGCAUGGGGUGUUGGUGGAAAGAUUUAUCGGUGAUGGAUGGACCCGCGGCCUAUCAGCUUGUUGGCGGGGUAAUGGCCCACCAAGGCGACGACGGGUAGCCGGCCUGAGAGGGUGACCGGCCACACUGGGACUGAGACACGGCCCAGACUCCUACGGGAGGCAGCAGUGGGGAAUAUUGCACAAUGGGCGAAAGCCUGAUGCAGCGACGCCGCGUGAGGGAUGACGGCCUUCGGGUUGUAAACCUCUUUCGGCAGGGAAGAAGCGAGAGUGACGGUACCUGCAGAAGAAGCACCGGCUAACUACGUG